GCUUAGAGAGGGGUCAAUGUCCUAUCAGCUAGUUGGUAGGGUAAUGGCCUACCAAGGCAAAGACGGGUAGCCGGCCUGAGAGGGUGGUCGGCCACACUGGGACUGAGACACUGCCCAGACUCCUACGGGAGGCUGCAGUCGAGAAUCUUUCGCAAUGCCCGAAAGGGUGACGAAGCGACGCCGCGUGUGGGAAGAAGGCCUUCGGGUUGUAAACCACUGUCGGGAGUUAAGAAAUGUAAGGGUGUUAAUAGCAUCCUUGCUUGACUAAGGCUCCGGAGGAAGCCACGGCUAACUCUGUGCCAGCAGCCGCGGUAAUACAGAGGCGGCAAGCGUUGUUCGGAAUUAUUGGGCGUAAAGAGCACGUAGGCGGCUUUGUAAGUCAGUUGUGAAAGCCUUCUGCUCAACGGAAGAACAGCAUCUGAUACUGCAAGGCUAGAGUACGGAAGGG
This 448-nucleotide ribosomal RNA is filed under the name uncultured Planctomycetota bacterium. RNAcentral's name for it is "bacterial SSU rRNA". It matches the Rfam family "Bacterial small subunit ribosomal RNA", at positions 217 to 656 of the family's 1533-position model. Lineage: Bacteria; Pseudomonadati; Planctomycetota. The record is from RNAcentral.